This is a long non-coding RNA of Piliocolobus tephrosceles (Ugandan red Colobus), 656 nucleotides long. RefSeq lists it as uncharacterized. NCBI's taxonomy places the organism in Eukaryota, Metazoa, Chordata, Mammalia, Primates, Cercopithecidae. The transcript has 2 exons. The record is from RefSeq and is a predicted model, not a curated record.
AACACUACAGAAGCAAACAGACCUGGAGCUGUCACCAGUGACUAAAGAAGAGAAAACUGCGGCAGAGCAAUUAAAAUCUCACAUGCCAGAUUUAUGAAGAAAUGGACUUGGAAAGGAGACUGUAACAGAGAAGGGCUUAAUUCCAGAGAAAUUUAGGAAGAUGUCUUGUUAACACUUGAUGUCUAGAGAUUGGGAGCUGGUGAAAGAGGUUUGGCUUCAAUGACCGGAUAAUAAUGCCUUUCAGGAGAGAGACUACAAGAAGAAGGGCAGAUAAUAUAUGAAUAAAGUUCAGCCAAAAGGAUCAAAUGAGAAUAAAGGGAUUUAAAUAUGUGUACACACACAUACACACACACACUUAGUCUUGUAAUUUCAGGUAAGAAAGUCUCCUAACACUAUUUUGCAUCUGUUUUCUUUUUCUAAGUCAUGAUAAUGUAGAUGUUCUGGUCCAUCAUAAAAGAAUGUUUAUGUACAUUUCAGUCAUUCGAUAUGUGACUUUGGAAAUUAAACUAUAGGCAAAAUAUUUGUAUUAUAUAUUGCAUAUAAUUUCGUUUUGUAAAUGUUGAUUGCACAUGUGGUUAAAUUAUUGUUAAGACUGCUUUUAUGUGACCUGUAGUCUCCCACAAAACCUAAAGUAAUAAGCUGGCUUUUCUGUGAUA